This 157-nucleotide ribosomal RNA is filed under the name Helvella silvicola. Its description in RNAcentral is "5.8S ribosomal RNA". It matches the Rfam family "5.8S ribosomal RNA". Rfam says of the family: 5.8S ribosomal RNA (5.8S rRNA) is a component of the large subunit of the eukaryotic ribosome. It is transcribed by RNA polymerase I as part of the 45S precursor that also contains 18S and 28S rRNA. The record is from RNAcentral. Lineage: Eukaryota; Fungi; Ascomycota; Pezizomycetes; Pezizales; Helvellaceae.
AAAACUUUCAACAACGGAUCUCUUGUUUCCUGCAUCGAUGAAGAACUCAGUGAAAUGCCAUAAGUAAUCUGAAUUACAGAAUUCAGUGAAUCAUCAAAUCUUUGAAGGCACUUUGCGCCCGCUGGCAUUCCGGGGGGCAUGCCUGUUUGAGCGUCUC